RNAcentral lists this ribosomal RNA (226 nucleotides) under uncultured bacterium. Its description in RNAcentral is "partial 16S ribosomal RNA". It matches the Rfam family "Bacterial small subunit ribosomal RNA", at positions 111 to 334 of the family's 1533-position model. The record is from RNAcentral.
UAACGCGUGAGCAAUCUGCCUUUAAGAGGGGGGUAACAGUCGGAAACGGCUGCUAAUACCGCAUAAAGCAUCAAAUUCGCAUGUUUUUGUACGCCAAAGGAGCAAUCCGCUUUUAGAUGAGCUCGCGUCUGAUUAGCUGGUUGGCGGGGUAACGGCCCACCAAGGCGACGAUCAGUAGCCGGACUGAGAGGUUGAACGGCCACAUUGGGACUGAGACACGGCCCAG